GAUGAACGCUAGCGGGAGGCCUAACACAUGCAAGCCGAGCGGUAUUGUUUCUUCGGAAAUGAGAGAGCGGCGUACGGGUUCGUAACACGUGUGCAACCUGCCUUUAUCUGGGGGAUAGCCUUUCGAAAGGAAGAUUAAUACUCUAUGACAUAUUGAACGGCAUCGUUUAAUAUUGAAAGCUCCGGCGGAUAGAGAUGGGCACGCGAAAGAUUAGCUGGUUGGUGAGGUAACGGCUCACCAAGGCGAUGAUCUUUAGGGGGCCUGAGAGGGUGAUCCCCCACACUGGUACUGAGACACGGACCAGACUCCUACGGGAGGCAGCAGUGAGGAAUAUUGGUCAAUGGGUGCAAGCCUGAACCAGCCAUCCCGCGUGAAGGACGACUGCCCUAUGGGUUGUAAACUUCUUUUGUAUAGGGAUAAACCUACCCUCGUGAGAGUAGCUGAAGGUACUAUACGAAUAAGCACCGGCUAACUCCGUGCCAGCAGCCGCAGUAA
RNAcentral lists this ribosomal RNA (495 nucleotides) under uncultured bacterium. RNAcentral describes it as "partial 16S ribosomal RNA". It matches the Rfam family "Bacterial small subunit ribosomal RNA", at positions 28 to 523 of the family's 1533-position model. The record is from RNAcentral.